UGCGUAGGUGGCAGGGUAAGUUUGAUGUGAAAUCUCCGAGCUCAACUCGGAAACUGCAUUGAAUACUAUCCUGCUUGAGGAUUGGAGGGGAGACUGGAAUUCUCGGUGUAGCAGUGAAAUGCGUAGAUAUCGAGAGGAACACCAGUGGCGAAGGCGAGUCUCUAGACAACUCCUGACACUGAGGCACGAAAGCUAGGGGAGCAAACA
This 207-nucleotide ribosomal RNA is filed under the name uncultured bacterium. Its description in RNAcentral is "partial 16S ribosomal RNA". It matches the Rfam family "Bacterial small subunit ribosomal RNA", at positions 568 to 774 of the family's 1533-position model. The record is from RNAcentral.